AGAGUUUGAUCAUGGCUCAGAUUGAACGCUGGCGGCAUGCCUUACACAUGCAAGUCGAACGGUAACAGGUCUUCGGAUGCUGACGAGUGGCGAACGGGUGAGUAAUACAUCGGAACGUGCCCGAUCGUGGGGGAUAACGCAGCGAAAAGCUGUGCUAAUACCGCAUACGAUCUACGGAUGAAAGCGGGGGAUCGCAAGACCUCGCGCGGACGGAGCGGCCGAUGGCAGAUUAGGUAGUUGGUGGGAUAAAAGCUUACCAAGCCGACGAUCUGUAGCUGGUCCUGAGAGGACGACCAGCCACACUGGGACUGAGACACGGCCCCAGACUCCUACGGGGAGGCAGCAGUGGGGAAUUUUGGACAAUGGGCGCAAGCCUGAUCCAGCCAUGCCGCGUGCAGGAUGAAGGCCUUCGGGUUGUAAACUGCUUUUGUACGGAACGAAAAAGUUCUCUCUAAUACAGGGGGCGAAUGACGGUACCGUAAGAAUAAGCACCGGCUAACUACGUG
This 506-nucleotide ribosomal RNA is filed under the name uncultured bacterium. Its description in RNAcentral is "bacterial SSU rRNA". It matches the Rfam family "Bacterial small subunit ribosomal RNA", at positions 8 to 507 of the family's 1533-position model. The record is from RNAcentral.